This 751-nucleotide ribosomal RNA is filed under the name Staphylococcus epidermidis. RNAcentral's name for it is "bacterial SSU rRNA". It matches the Rfam family "Bacterial small subunit ribosomal RNA", at positions 45 to 781 of the family's 1533-position model. Lineage: Bacteria; Bacillati; Bacillota; Bacilli; Caryophanales; Staphylococcaceae. The record is from RNAcentral.
UGCUAUACAUGCAGUCGAGCGAACAGACGAGGAGCUUGCUCCUCUGACGUUAGCGGCGGACGGGUGAGUAACACGUGGAUAACCUACCUAUAAGACUGGGAUAACUUCGGGAAACCGGAGCUAAUACCGGAUAAUAUAUUGAACCGCAUGGUUCAAUAGUGAAAGACGGUUUUGCUGUCACUUAUAGAUGGAUCCGCGCCGCAUUAGCUAGUUGGUAAGGUAACGGCUUACCAAGGCAACGAUGCGUAGCCGACCUGAGAGGGUGAUCGGCCACACUGGAACUGAGACACGGUCCAGACUCCUACGGGAGGCAGCAGUAGGGAAUCUUCCGCAAUGGGCGAAAGCCUGACGGAGCAACGCCGCGUGAGUGAUGAAGGUCUUCGGAUCGUAAAACUCUGUUAUUAGGGAAGAACAAAUGUGUAAGUAACUAUGCACGUCUUGACGGUACCUAAUCAGAAAGCCACGGCUAACUACGUGCCAGCAGCCGCGGUAAUACGUAGGUGGCAAGCGUUAUCCGGAAUUAUUGGGCGUAAAGCGCGCGUAGGCGGUUUUUUAAGUCUGAUGUGAAAGCCCACGGCUCAACCGUGGAGGGUCAUUGGAAACUGGAAAACUUGAGUGCAGAAGAGGAAAGUGGAAUUCCAUGUGUAGCGGUGAAAUGCGCAGAGAUAUGGAGGAACACCAGUGGCGAAGGCGACUUUCUGGUCUGUAACUGACGCUGAUGUGCGAAAGCGUGGGGAUCAAACAGGAUUAG